GACGAACGCUGGCGGCGUGCUUAACACAUGCAAGUCGAACGGAAAGGCCCUGCUUUUGUGGGGUGCUCGAGUGGCGAACGGGUGAGUAACACGUGAGUAACCUGCCCUUGACUUUGGGAUAACUUCAGGAAACUGGGGCUAAUACCGGAUAGGAGCUCCUGCUGCAUGGUGGGGGUUGGAAAGUUUCGGCGGUUGGGGAUGGACUCGCGGCUUAUCAGCUUGUUGGUGGGGUAGUGGCUUACCAAGGCUUUGACGGGUAGCCGGCCUGAGAGGGUGACCGGCCACAUUGGGACUGAGAUACGGCCCAGACUCCUACGGGAGGCAGCAGUGGGGAAUAUUGCACAAUGGGCGGAAGCCUGAUGCAGCAACGCCGCGUGCGGGAUGACGGCCUUCGGGUUGUAAACCGCUUUCGCCUGUGACGAAGCGUGAGUGACGGUAAUGGGUAAAGAAGCACCGGCUAACUACGUGCCAGCAGCCGCGGUGAUACGUAGGGUGCGAGCGUUGUCCGGAUUUAUUGGGCGUAAAGGGCUCGUAGGUGGUUGAUCGCGUCGGAAGUGUAAUCUUGGGGCUUAACCCUGAGCGUGCUUUCGAUACGGGUUGACUUGAGGAAGGUAGGGGAGAAUGGGAUUCCUGGUGGAGCGGUGGAAUGCGCAGAUAUCAGGAGGAACACCAGUGGCGAAGGCGGUUCUCUGGGCCUUUCCUGACGCUGAGGAGCGAAAGCGUGGGGAGCGAACAGGCUUAGAUACCCUGGUAGUCCACGCUGUAAACGGUGGGUACUAGGUGUGGGGUCCAUUCCACGGGUUCCGUGCCGUAGCUAACGCUUUAAGUACCCCGCCUGGGGAGUACGGCCGCAAGGCUAAAACUCAAAGGAAUUGACGGGGCCCCGCACAAGCGGCGGAGCAUGCGGAUUAAUUCGAUGCAACGCGUAGAACCUUACCUGGGUUUGACAUGGAUCGGGAGUGCUCAGAGAUGGGUGUGCCUCUUUUGGGGUCGGUUCACAGGUGGUGCAUGGCUGUCGUCAGCUCGUGUCGUGAGAUGUUGGGUUAAGUCCCGCAACGAGCGCAACCCUUGUUCACUGUUGCCAGCACGUUAUGGUGGGGACUCAGUGGAGACCGCCGGGGUCAACUCGGAGGAAGGUGGGGAUGACGUCAAGUCAUCAUGCCCCUUAUGUCCAGGGCUUCACGCAUGCUACAAUGGCUGGUACAGAGAGUGGCGAGCCUGUGAGGGUGAGCGAAUCUCGGAAAGCCGGUCUCAGUUCGGAUUGGGGUCUGCAACUCGACCUCAUGAAGUCGGAGUCGCUAGUAAUCGCAGAUCAGCAACGCUGCGGUGAAUACGUUCCCGGG
RNAcentral lists this ribosomal RNA (1343 nucleotides) under uncultured bacterium. RNAcentral describes it as "16S ribosomal RNA". It matches the Rfam family "Bacterial small subunit ribosomal RNA", at positions 28 to 1378 of the family's 1533-position model. The record is from RNAcentral.